GCUUUUUCUGAGGUGGCUGAAUCUAGAGUGUAUGAUGUUGGGAUUAAGGGUGUGAGAUUACUAGAUCAGUACACUGAUUGGUUUGGCAUCACCCUAAUUCUGAUAGUCUGGAUAAGAUGUUAUUUUCCCUUGUUGCUUUGCUACCUUCAGUCUGCCAUGAACUCUUGCCCCUCUGCCAUGUGCCACCCUGCCUUGAAGGCCGCCCAUUACCGACUGAAACCUCUACAAACUGUGAGCUAACCCUUUUAACUUUGGGUGGUGGGUAUUUUACUCAGCAACAAAAGCAAAGUAAAUAAGACAGCAAGUUACUGAUGAGUGAGGAAUCCAGCUGAGACCUUCUAAGACUACUCUCAAGAUUGGAUUCUCCAGUAACACAUUUGCCUGCAUCAAAAUGAUGAAAAAUAGACCCAGAGAAUAUUGGUGUGGCAGAGCUUUCCAAAGCAGCUUUUCUGGCAGAAAUCCAGGUGAGGCAGGGCCCCGCAUGGAACAUGGAAUGAAGAACAUGCCUUGUUUGCUCCCUCUCACAGAUGAGGCAGGGCCCAGCAGGAGGAGAACAGGUGACAAGAGGGUGGUGGAGCAAGGCCUGGUCAAGAAGAGGACUGUCUUCCUUCCCUCCCAUUCUCCAGAAAACUAUCAAGCAUGGGGUCCUGUGGGCCUUAGCUACUCUCUUGGCUCCAGUUACAGACAAGGUCCUUUUACCUCACCCUACACUUCCCUUAUCUCUACCAAUAUAAAUAAACAUGCUGCAUUUGCCUGGGGUCUUCUUCUCCCAUCAGGAGUUAGAGCCCCAGCUGGCCCCCCACCUUUGUUUCUCUUUGUUCUUUUGUAACUUUCUUUCUUUACCUUUUCUCAAUCUCCCACCGUCAUUUCACUAGUGGACCCUUCAGCCACACAGGCCAUGGCAGGUGGACAGUCCUGUGAGUCUUGAUACACAUCUAGUUUUAUGUAGUCCACAUCACAGAACCCAGAGCAGUUCCGACACCCUGAAAUUCUCCCACAUACUUUGUAGUCAGGCCUUCAUCACACCCAGCCCCUGGCAAAUACUGAUCUCUUCUCUGCUUCUGUGAAUUUGCUUUCUCCAUGGUGUUAUGUAAACUUCAUGAUGCAUAGUGUGACCUCAUAAGACUGACACUUUCUCUGGGCAAAAUGUCUUUGAGAUUUAUCCAUGUUGCUGCUUUUUGCUGGUUUGUUUGCAUCCACCUGACAAAGGAUAUUUGGAUUCUAGUUUUGUUGACUGUAAUAAAGCUGCUAUAAACUUUAAUGUGAAAAAGCUGCUCUAAAUGUAAGAGUCAUAUUAAAACAAAGGUAAUGUAUACUCCUUGAAACUUAUUGUUUCCUAGGGGCCAGGGAUUUAGCUCAGUGGUUCUGGUGCCUGCCUUGUAAGCACAAGGACUGGAGUUCAAUCUCCGGUACCAAAAAAAAAAAAAAAAAAAAGAAACUUAUAGUUGACUACAUUUUACUUGUAUCUGU
This 1470-nucleotide long non-coding RNA is filed under the name Heterocephalus glaber (naked mole-rat). Its description in RNAcentral is "lncRNA (ENSHGLG00100029136.2)". Lineage: Eukaryota; Metazoa; Chordata; Mammalia; Rodentia; Bathyergidae. The record is from RNAcentral.